Physcomitrium patens is the source of this 1095-nucleotide non-coding RNA. The record is from RefSeq and is a predicted model, not a curated record. NCBI's taxonomy places the organism in Eukaryota, Viridiplantae, Streptophyta, Bryopsida, Funariales, Funariaceae.
CCACGGCCCACUCCAUUCAACCCCACUCACAUGUGUCCCUCAAAUCCAUCCAUCCCAAUCACCACUUUGACCAUCUGUCGACAGGACCACCCUUUACUCCCCUUCUCGCCUCGGUACUACUAUCCCGUCACUUCUGUGUCGCUGUGUGUGUGAGAGUUUCCGCUGCUGUGUCUCGCUACCGUAAUAUACAGUUCCAGCAUCGUGAUAUGUCUUACAUAAUGUUUUUAGGAAACGAAGACCAAGAAGAAGACCUCAUCCAUGUGGAAAAUACUGGCUUUGGAGACUUCUAGGCGAUCAGGUUGCUGUUGGAAAAGCUUGAGAGGUUUGGGAGCGUGUGGUAGUGAAAUUAAAGAUGGGCUUCGUCGAAGGGGAGUCAUAACAACAACAAAGGAGACUCUGCAUAUAGGUUGAUGGUGCAGAUCCAUUCUCCACAAUCUUUGGUAUGCUGAAGGCGCCGGUCUGUUGCAGAAACCAUCCGAGGUUUCAGAUCGGUGAUUUAUUCCGCUGAUUCGAAUGCUAGAAUGGCUGAAAACGUUGAUUUGAUACAUACGUUGCUCUUUUGUUUGUUUGUGCUCUUCGAUUUCGUCAAGCGUUAGGAGUGUGCGCAUGACCUCAGUGCAGGUUUCAUGAGUUUAUGAGUGGGUUCCUGGAGAUUUGGCGCUCGAUCCAACGAGGUUGUUGGUACUGUGAGUUAUCAGGGUUGAAGAUUGCUUGCUGGAGGUGGGCUGGCAUUGGGGCUGCGCUGACACGGAGGGUGAUAUUGCCGAUCAGAUGCUAUGAACCAGAGUAAAACAAGGGCGAGGGGAAAGAGCAGUAUGCGAGGAGGCCUAGGUUUAGAGAUGAAACUCGAGGAUUAGGGUCCCAUGUUGCGAGCAAUAGUUCAGCAAGUUGUUAUGUUCGUGCAAAAUCUAAGAAUCUAGAGGUAUAUGCAAGAGCAGGCAUUUCCAAGGCUGCAGAUUUUCCUAAAUUUCUUGGUCCAGCUCUUGUCUGAACCCUUCAAGCUAAGUAAAACAAUUAUUAGGGAGCCAGGCUUGACUAAGACGUGACUUGCUCUAAAAGUAUAUUGCAAAUAUAUGUUUUCCGAGUUGUCUCCUA